GUAGGUGAACCUGCGGAAGGAUCAUUACCGAAGUCAAGGCCCCUUCGGGGGCUAAACUUCCACCCUUUGUUUACCUUACCAUUGUUGCUUUGGCGGGCCGCCUUAGGCCACCGGCUCUCGAGCUGGUGCGUGCCCGCCAGAGACCCCCAAACCCAAACCAUAUUUAGUGUCGUCUGAAAACAAGUUUAAAUUAUUAAAACUUUCAACAACGGAUCUCUUGGCUCUG
RNAcentral lists this unclassified non-coding RNA (226 nucleotides) under rhizosphere metagenome. RNAcentral's name for it is "partial ribosomal RNA internal transcribed spacer region". The record is from RNAcentral.